This 378-nucleotide ribosomal RNA is filed under the name Pinnularia sp. NE-L11. RNAcentral describes it as "SSU rRNA". It matches the Rfam family "Eukaryotic small subunit ribosomal RNA", at positions 582 to 968 of the family's 1831-position model. Lineage: Eukaryota; Bacillariophyta; Bacillariophyceae; Sellaphorales; Pinnulariaceae. The record is from RNAcentral.
AUUCCAGCUCCAAUAGCGUAUAUUAAAGUUGUUGCAGUUAAAAAGCUCGUAGUUGGAUUUGUGGCGGCAGAUGUGGUCCAACUCGUUUUGGUAUUGCAUGUUGUUGCCAUCUUUGGAUGGAACCUGUGGGGCAUUAGGUUGUUCUGCAGGGGAUAUCUAUCGUUUACUGUGAAAAAAUUAGAGUGUUCAAAGCAGGCUUACGCCAAUGAAUAUACUAGCAUGGAAUAAUGAAAUAGGACUUUGGUACUAUUUUGUUGGUUUGCGCACCAAAGUAAUGAUUAAUAGGGACAGUUGGGGGUAUUCGUAUUCCAUUGUCAGAGGUGAAAUUCUUGGAUUUUUGGAAGACGAACUACUGCGAAAGCAUUUACCAAGGAUGUU